CCUGUUUCAAUUUCAGUGAUCAUAAUUCAAUUAAAAGAGGGACGAAAGAUACCAAAGGGACAGUCAAACUCAUAAAUCUAAAACAAACUGACAACGCCAUGGCCAAAAAUAAAAAAGACAAACAGAAAAACAAUAGUACACACGACACAACAUAGAAAACUAAAGAAUAAACAACACGAACCCCACCAAAAACUAGGGGUGAUCUCAGGUGCUCCGGAAGGGUAAGCAGAUCCUGCUCCACAUGUGGCACCCGUCGUGUUGCUUAAGUGAUUACAAAUCCGGUAAAUAGUCUAAUU
This 296-nucleotide long non-coding RNA is filed under the name Mytilus galloprovincialis (Mediterranean mussel). Lineage: Eukaryota; Metazoa; Mollusca; Bivalvia; Mytilida; Mytilidae. The record is from RNAcentral.